UUUCCAUUUCCUGCUACCCGAACAAAGACGCUCCUUUGGCGACUGUUCAGCUAUGUUCAGUCAAGUCUAAGGUUUGGAAGAGGAUUGAAGAUUUCAAAUACGGCAUUCCCUGCAAUUCCCCAGGGAAAUACGUGAGCAACACUUUGAAUUGGGUGAUGGAUAACGAGUCGAGCUCGAUCGUGUCGCUUGACUUGCACAGCGAAACAUACCGAGAAGUGAUGCAGCCAGAGGUUGUUAGCCGGAAACAGAAGACGGUCGGGGUUGUGGAAGGUUGUCUGUGCGUGAUGUAUCAUCGCAGCGGAGAGUACUCGGAUUUGUGGGUGAU
RNAcentral lists this long non-coding RNA (325 nucleotides) under Linum usitatissimum (flax). RNAcentral describes it as "long non-coding RNA (LUSI_LNC005120)". The record is from RNAcentral. Lineage: Eukaryota; Viridiplantae; Streptophyta; Magnoliopsida; Malpighiales; Linaceae.